This 23-nucleotide non-coding RNA is filed under the name Arabidopsis thaliana (thale cress). The record is from RNAcentral. Lineage: Eukaryota; Viridiplantae; Streptophyta; Magnoliopsida; Brassicales; Brassicaceae.
GAAUUCGGCUAAACCAUCAAAGC